This 317-nucleotide ribosomal RNA is filed under the name uncultured bacterium. RNAcentral's name for it is "partial 16S ribosomal RNA". It matches the Rfam family "Bacterial small subunit ribosomal RNA", at positions 356 to 689 of the family's 1533-position model. The record is from RNAcentral.
GGGGAAUAUUGGACAAUGGGGGCAACCCUGAUCCAGCAAUGCCGCGUGUGUGAAGAAGGUCUUCGGAUUGUAAAGCACUUUCGACGGGGACGAUGAUGACGGUACCCGUAGAAGAAGCCCCGGCUAACUUCGUGCCAGCAGCCGCGGUAAUACGAAGGGGGCUAGCGUUGCUCGGAAUGACUGGGCGUAAAGGGCGUGUAGGCGGUUUACACAGUCAGAUGUGAAAUCCCCGGGCUUAACCUGGGAGCUGCAUUUGAUACGUGUAGACUAGAGUGUGAGAGAGGGUUUGUGGAAUUCCCAGUGUAGAGGUGAAAUUC